GUGGGGAAUAUUGCGCAAUGGGCGAAAGCCUGACGCAGCCACGCCGCGUGGGUGAUGAAGGCCUUCGGGUUGUAAAGCCCUGUCGGGAGGGACGAAGUUCUGACGGUACCUCCCAAGAAAGCACCGGCUAACCCCGUGCCAGCAGCCGCGGUAAUACGGGGGGUGCAAGCGUUGCUCGGAAUUAUUGGGCGUAAAGCGUACGCAGGCGGCUCGCCAAGUCGAGUGUGAAAUCCCGGGGCUCAACCCCGGACUUGCAUUCGAAACUGACGAGCUUGAGUGCGGGAGAGGGAAGCGGAAUUCCUGGUGUAGAGGUGAAAUUCGUAGAUAUCAGGAGGAACACCGGUGGCGAAAGCGGCUUCCUGGCCCGAUACUGACGCUCAUGUACGAAAGCGUGGGGAGCAAACAGGAUUAGAAACCCCAGUAGUCC
This 427-nucleotide ribosomal RNA is filed under the name uncultured bacterium. Its description in RNAcentral is "bacterial SSU rRNA". It matches the Rfam family "Bacterial small subunit ribosomal RNA", at positions 354 to 796 of the family's 1533-position model. The record is from RNAcentral.